RNAcentral lists this ribosomal RNA (497 nucleotides) under uncultured bacterium. Its description in RNAcentral is "partial 16S ribosomal RNA". It matches the Rfam family "Bacterial small subunit ribosomal RNA", at positions 28 to 507 of the family's 1533-position model. The record is from RNAcentral.
GAUGAACGCUGGCGGCGUGCCUAAUACAUGCAAGUCGAGCGAACAGAUGAGGAGCUUGCUCCUCUGACGUUAGCGGCGGACGGGUGAGUAACACGUGGAUAACCUACCUAUAAGACUGGGAUAACUUCGGGAAACCGGAGCUAAUACCGGAUAAUAUAUUGAACCGCAUGGUUCAAUAGUGAAAGACGGUUUUGCUGUCACUUAUAGAUGGAUCCGCGCCGAAUUAGCUAGUUGGUAAGGUAACUGCUUACCAAGGCAACGAUGCGUAGCCGAACUGAGAGAGUGAUCGAGGACACUGGAAGGGAAACAGGAACCGAAGAACUAUGAGAGCCAGCAAAAGAGAAUAAACAGCGAGGGGCGGAAGCAAAAGGGAGCAAAGCAGCGUGAGAAACAACGGUCUUAGGAGCGUAAACAGCUGUAAUUAGGUGAAAACAAAUAAGAAAGCAACUAUGACCGGCAUGACGCGACAAAAUAACAAAGCAACGGCUAACUAAUGG